RNAcentral lists this ribosomal RNA (504 nucleotides) under uncultured bacterium. Its description in RNAcentral is "partial 16S ribosomal RNA". It matches the Rfam family "Bacterial small subunit ribosomal RNA", at positions 30 to 523 of the family's 1533-position model. The record is from RNAcentral.
AUUGAACGCUGGCGGCAGGCCUAACACAUGCAAGUCGAGCGGUAGCACAGAGAGCUUGCUCUCGGGUGACGAGCGGCGGACGGGUGAGUAAUGUCUGGGAAACUGCCUGAUGGAGGGGGAUAACUACUGGAAACGGUAGCUAAUACCGCAUAAUGUCGCAAGACCAAAGUGGGGGACCUUCGGGCCUCAUGCCAUCAGAUGUGCCCAGAUGGGAUUAGCUAGUAGGUGGGGUAACGGCUCACCUAGGCGACGAUCCCUAGCUGGUCUGAGAGGAUGACCAGCAACACUGGAACUGAGACAUGGUCCAGACGCCUACGGAAGGCAGCAGUGGGGAAUAUUGCACAAUGGGCGCAAGCCUGAUGCAGCCAUGCCGCGUGUGUGAAGAAGGCCUUCGGGUUGUAAAGCACUUUCAGCGGGGAGGAAGGCGGUGAGGUUAAUAACCUCAUCGAUUGACGUUACCCGCAGAAGAAGCACCGGCUAACUCCGUGCCAGCCGCCGCCGUAA